This 471-nucleotide ribosomal RNA is filed under the name Clostridioides difficile. RNAcentral describes it as "bacterial LSU rRNA". It matches the Rfam family "Bacterial large subunit ribosomal RNA", at positions 1189 to 1665 of the family's 2925-position model. The record is from RNAcentral. Lineage: Bacteria; Bacillati; Bacillota; Clostridia; Peptostreptococcales; Peptostreptococcaceae.
UACUACCGAAGCUACGGCAUCAGUAAUGAUGGGUAGGGGAGCUUCCCAUACGGGUUGAAGCAUGACCGUAAGGACAUGUGGACAGUAUGGGAGUGAGAAUGUUGGCAUGAGUAGCGAGAUGUGGGUGAGAAUCCCACAGGCCGUAAACCCAAGGUUUCCAGGGGAAGGUUCGUCCGCCCUGGGUUAGUCGGGACCUAAGCUGAGGCCGAAAGGCGUAGGUGAUGGACAACAGGUUGAUAUUCCUGUACUACCGAUAACCAUUUGAGAGAAGGGAUGACACAGUAGGAUAAGCUAAGCACACUGUUGGUUAUGUGUGCCCAAGCAUUGAGGCAGUCAAAGUAGGCAAAUCCGCUUUGAUAAUGCUGGGAUGUGAUGGGGAGCGAAAUUUAGUAGCGAAGUAGCUGAUUUCACACUGUCAAGAAAAGUCUCUAUCGAGGUUAAAGGUACCCGUACCGCAAACCGACACAGGUG